ACUCCUACGGGAGGCAGCAGUGGGGAAUAUUGCACAAUGGGCGCAAGCCUGAUGCAGCCAUGCCGCGUGUGUGAAGAAGGCCUUCGGGUUGUAAAGCACUUUCAGUCGUGAAGGAAGGUAGUGUAGUUAACUAGCUGCAUUAUUGAUCGUUAGCGAACAGAAGAAGCACCGGCUAACUCCGUGCCAGCAGCCGCGGUAAUACGGAGGGUGCGAGCGUUAAUCGGAAUUACUGGGCGU
RNAcentral lists this ribosomal RNA (237 nucleotides) under uncultured bacterium. RNAcentral's name for it is "partial 16S ribosomal RNA". It matches the Rfam family "Bacterial small subunit ribosomal RNA", at positions 335 to 561 of the family's 1533-position model. The record is from RNAcentral.